UACGGAGGGUGCAAGCGUUACUCGGCAUCACUGGGCGUAAAGGGCGCGUCGGCGGCCUAGCAAGUCUGGUGUGAAAGCCCAGGGCUCAACCCUGGAAGGGCACUGGAAACUGUUAGGCUUGAGUUCCGGAGAGGAGGGGGGAAUUCCCGGUGUAGCGGUGAAAUGCGUAGAUAUCGGGAGGAAUACCGGUGGCGAAGGCGCCCCUCUGGACGGAAACUGACGCUGGGGCGCGAAAGCGUGGGGAGCAAACAGG
RNAcentral lists this ribosomal RNA (253 nucleotides) under uncultured bacterium. Its description in RNAcentral is "partial 16S ribosomal RNA". It matches the Rfam family "Bacterial small subunit ribosomal RNA", at positions 524 to 776 of the family's 1533-position model. The record is from RNAcentral.